AGCGAACGCUGGCGGCAGGCCUAACACAUGCAAGUCGAACGAACUCUUCGGAGUUAGUGGCGGACGGGUGAGUAACACGUGGGAACGUGCCUUUAGGUUCGGAAUAACUCAGGGAAACUUGUGCUAAUACCGAAUGUGCCCUUCGGGGGAAAGAUUUAUCGCCUUUAGAACGGCCCGCGUCUGAUUAGCUAGUUGGUGAGGUAAAGGCUCACCAAGGCGACGAUCAGUAUCUGGUCGGAGAGGAUGAUCAGCCACAUUGGGACUGAGACACGGCCCAAACCCCUACGGGAGGCAGCAGUGGGGAAUCUUGCGCAAUGGGCGAAAGCCUGACGCAGCCAUGCCGCGUGAAUGAUGAAGGUCUGAGGAUUGGAAAAUUCUUUCACCGGGGACGAUAAUGACGGUACCCGGAGAAGAAGCCCCGGCUAACUUCGUGCCAGCAGCCGCGGUAA
Molecule: ribosomal RNA, 449 nt
Filed under: uncultured bacterium
Lineage: Bacteria
Description: partial 16S ribosomal RNA
Rfam family: Bacterial small subunit ribosomal RNA
Source: RNAcentral